AUUGAACGCUGGCGGCAGGCCUAACACAUGCAAGUCGAGCGGAUGAAGGGAGCUUGCUCCUUGAUUCAGCGGCGGACGGGUGAGUAAUGCCUAGGAAUCUGCCUGGUAGUGGGGGAUAACGUCCGGAAACGGGCGCUAAUACCGCAUACGUCCUGAGGGAGAAAGGGGGGGAUCUUCGGACCUCACGCUAUCAGAUGAGCCUAGGUCGGAUUAGCUAGUUGGUGGGGUAAAGGCCUACCAAGGCGACGAUCCGUAACUGGUCUGAGAGGAUGAUCAGUCACACUGGAACUGAGACACGGUCCAGACUCCUACGGGAGGCAGCAGUGGGGAAUAUUGGACAAUGGGCGAAAGCCUGAUCCAGCCAUGCCGCGUGUGUGAAGAAGGUCUUCGGAUUGUAAAGCACUUUAAGUUGGGAGGAAGGGCAGUAAGUUAAUACCUUGCUGUUUUGACGUUACCAACAGAAUAAGCACCGGCUAACUUCGUG
RNAcentral lists this ribosomal RNA (484 nucleotides) under uncultured bacterium. RNAcentral's name for it is "partial 16S ribosomal RNA". It matches the Rfam family "Bacterial small subunit ribosomal RNA", at positions 30 to 507 of the family's 1533-position model. The record is from RNAcentral.